GCGGAGGUAGCAUAGCCUGGCCAACUGCGGCGGACUCAAGACCCGCUCCCGUAGGGGUUCGCAGGUUCGAAUCCUGCCCUCCGCA
This 85-nucleotide transfer RNA is filed under the name Thermoplasmatales archaeon SW_10_69_26. RNAcentral's name for it is "tRNA-Leu". It matches the Rfam family "tRNA". From Rfam's summary of the family: Transfer RNA (tRNA) molecules are approximately 80 nucleotides in length. Their secondary structure includes four short double-helical elements and three loops (D, anti-codon, and T loops). The record is from RNAcentral. Lineage: Archaea; Methanobacteriati; Thermoplasmatota; Thermoplasmata; Thermoplasmatales.